Molecule: ribosomal RNA, 467 nt
Filed under: uncultured eukaryote
Lineage: Eukaryota
Description: bacterial SSU rRNA
Rfam family: Eukaryotic small subunit ribosomal RNA
Source: RNAcentral
AGUGACAAUAAAUAACAAUGCUGAAGUUCAUACUUUGGUAAUUGGAAUGAGAACAAUUUAAACCCCUUAACGAGUAACCAUCAGAGGGCAAGUCUGGUGCCAGCAGCCGCGGUAAUUCCAGCUCUGAUAGCGUAUAUUAAUACUGUUGCAGUUAAAAAGCUCGUAGUUGGAUUUUAGAGUGUAUUGAUACGGUCUCUUGUGAUAAACUUGUUGUACUGUAUUAAUUACUCUUUCCUACUGGUUACUCGACUCUGUUCCAUGGAGUAGUGUCGCAAGGCAUCGCUUAGUAUUUUAUUGCUUUUAGAUGUAGUAAUUGGGUAAAACUGGUUGCGAAACCUAAGGGAUCACAGUAAAGUAUUAAGUGGGGUUCCAGUUCAUUUACUUUGAGUAAAUUAGAGUGUUCUAAAGCAGCCUGUAUGGGCGAUUGAAUAGAUUAGCAUGGGAUAAUAGAAUAGGAUUCUUGUCUA